GAUGAACGCUGACAGAAUGCUUAACACAUGCAAGUCGAUGGGGAAGUGGUGCUUGCACCAUGGUAACCAUGGCGGACGGGUGAGUAACGCGUAAGGAACUUGCCUGCGGGACUGGGAUAACAGCAGGAAACUGCUGAUAAUACCGGAUAAGGUCAUUAAGCUGCAUAGCUUGGUGAUGAAAGGAGACGCCUGCGGAGAGCCUUGCGUCCUAUUAGCUAGUUGGAGGGGUAACGGCCCACCAAGGCGAAGAUAGGUAGCCGGCCUGAGAGGGUGGACGGCCACAAGGGGACUGAGAUACGGCCCUUACUCCUACGGGAGGCAGCAGUGGGGAAUAUUGGACAAUGGGGGCAACCCUGAUCCAGCAAUUCUGUGUGCACGAAGACGGUUUUCGGAUUGUAAAGUGCUUUCAGCAGGGAAGAAGGAAGUGACGGUACCUGCAGAAGAAGCGACGGCUAAAUACGUGCCAGCAGCCGCGGUAAUACGUAUGUCGCGAGCGUUAUCCGGAAUUAUUGGGCAUAAAGGGCAUCUAGGCGGCCUUUCAAGUCAGGGGUGAAAACCUGCGGCUCAACCGCAGGCCUGCCUUUGAAACUGAUAGGCUGGAGUACCGGAGAGGUGGACGGAACUGCACGAGUAGAGGUGAAAUUCGUAGAUAUGCGCAGGAAUGCCGAUGAUGAAGAUAGUUCACUGGACGGUAACUGACGCUGAAGUGCGAAAGCCGGGGGAGCGAACAGG
RNAcentral lists this ribosomal RNA (732 nucleotides) under uncultured Leptotrichia sp. RNAcentral's name for it is "bacterial SSU rRNA". It matches the Rfam family "Bacterial small subunit ribosomal RNA", at positions 28 to 776 of the family's 1533-position model. The record is from RNAcentral. Lineage: Bacteria; Fusobacteriati; Fusobacteriota; Fusobacteriia; Fusobacteriales; Leptotrichiaceae.